Molecule: transfer RNA, 87 nt
Filed under: Modestobacter marinus
Lineage: Bacteria; Bacillati; Actinomycetota; Actinomycetes; Geodermatophilales; Geodermatophilaceae
Description: tRNA-Cys
Source: RNAcentral
CGGUGUGCUGGCCGACCGGUGGGAUCGGCGCCGGUUGUUGCAGACGACCCAGGCGCUGGCCAUGUUCGGUGCCCUGGGCAUGGCGGC